RNAcentral lists this ribosomal RNA (775 nucleotides) under uncultured Neocallimastigales. Its description in RNAcentral is "partial large subunit ribosomal RNA". It matches the Rfam family "Eukaryotic large subunit ribosomal RNA", at positions 23 to 626 of the family's 3401-position model. Lineage: Eukaryota; Fungi; Neocallimastigomycota; Neocallimastigomycetes; Neocallimastigales. The record is from RNAcentral.
AGAGAGAGACAUGCGCGCAUAUCAAUAAGCGGAGGAAAAGAAACUAACAAGGAUUCCCUUAGUAACGGCGAGUGAAGCGGGAAGAGCUCAAAUUUGAAAUCUUCAAGGUUUUACCUUGACGAAUUGUAGUUUAAAGAAGUGUUUUCUGCUGAAGUUUUGGUAAAAGUUCUUUGGAAUAGGACAUCAUAGAGGGUGAGAAUCCCGUAUUUGACCAUUAUUUUCAGCUUUGUGAUACACUUUCAAAGAGUCGGAUUGUUUGGGAAUGCAGUCCAAAAUGGGUGGUAAAUUUCAUCUAAAGCUAAAUAUUGGCGAGAGACCGAUAGCGAACAAGUACCGUGAGGGAAAGAUGAAAAGAACUUUGAAAAGAGAGUUAAACAGUACGUGAAAUUGUCAAAAGGGAAGCGUUUGACACCAGUGUUGUUUUCUCGAAAAUCAAUUAAAAAUGGCUCGAUUUUGUAUUGCUUGAGACCUUAAAAGCUCACUGUACAUUUUUCGUGUCUUUUUUAAUGCACUUUUCGUUUAACAAGUCAACAUCAGUUUCUUUCGUUGUAAAAGGGUCAUUGGAAGGUGGCUUUCUUUUCGGAGAAAGUGUUUAUAGCCUUUGGCCUCUGCAAUCGGAGAGACUGAGGUCUGCAGCGUAGACUCUUCGGGGUUAGAUACAUUUGUGCUAAGUUAUAGCUUUUUAUAGACAACUUGUUGACUAUAAUUAGUCUUGUAGCUUACUCGCUUAUGCUAUUUUACCUACGCUUAGGAUGUUGAGUCGUAGAGCACGCAG